UUAGAGUUUGAUCCUGGCUCAGGAUGAACUCUGGCGGCAGGCUUAAUACAUGCAAGUCGAACGGUAAGGCCCGAAGUAGCAAUACAGGAAGGUACACGAGUGGCGCACGGGUGCGUAACGCGUAUGUAAUCUGCCCUUGACCGGAACAAAACAGCUGGAAACGGCUGCUAAUAUUCCAUGGUCAUUUUCGGAGGCAUCUCCGGGGAUGUAAAGAUUUAUUGGUCAAGGAUGAGCAUGCGUAUUAUUAGAUAGUUGGUGGGGUAACGGCCCACCAAGUCGACGAUGAUUAGGGGUUCUGAGAGGAUUAACCCCCUCACUGGAACUGAGACACGGUCCAGACUCCUACGGGAGGCAGCAGUAGGGAAUAUUGGGCAAUGGAAGGAAUUCUGACCCAGCCAUGCCGCGUGAAGGAAGACGGUCCUAUGGAUUGUAAACUUCUUUUAUCGCAGAGUAAAUUGGGGCACGUGUGCCCCAUUGAGAGUAUGCGAUGAAUAAGUAUCGGCUAACUCCGUGCCAGCAGCCGCGGUAAUACGGAGGAUACGAGCGUUAUCCGGAUUUAUUGGGUUUAAAGGGUGCGUAGGCGGACUGGUAAGUCAGCGGUGAAAUAUGCCGGCUCAACCGGCAGGCUGCCGUUGAUACUGCCAGACUAGAGUACAAACGGCGCCGGCGGAAUAUGUCAUGUAGCGGUGAAAUGCUUAGAGAUGACAUAGAACACCGAUCGCGUAGGCAGCUGGCGAGGAUGGCACUGACGCUCAUGCACGAAAGCGUGGGGAUCAAACAGGAUUAGAUACCCUGGUAGUCCACGCAGUAAACGAUGAUGACUUGUUGUCGGCGAUAGACAGUCGGCGACAAAGCGAAAGCGAUAAGUCAUCCACCUGGGGAGUACGAUCGCAAGGUUGAAACUCAAAGGAAUUGACGGGGGCCCGCACAAGCGGAGGAGCAUGUGGUUUAAUUCGAUGAUACGCGAGGAACCUUACCCAGACUCAAAUGCAGAUGGAGCUCGGCAGAGAUGCCGGGGCCCUUCGGGGCCGUCUGCAAGGUGCUGCAUGGUUGUCGUCAGCUCGUGCCGUGAGGUGUCAGGUUAAGUCCUAUAACGAGCGCAACCCCUACGUCCAGUUGCCAGCGGGUAAAGCCGGGGACUCUGGAGGGACUGCCGGCGCAAGCCGAGAGGAAGGUGGGGAUGACGUCAAAUCAGCACGGCCCUUACGUCUGGGGCGACACACGUGCUACAAUGGCCGGUACAGAGGGCAGCGACACUGCGAGGUGGAGCGAAUCUCGAAAGCCGGUCUCAGUUCGGAUCGGAGUCUGCAACCCGACUCCGUGAAGUUGGAUUCGCUAGUAAUCGCGCAUCAGCCAUGGCGCGGUGAAUACGUUCCCGGGCCUUGCACACACCGCCCGUCAAG
RNAcentral lists this ribosomal RNA (1403 nucleotides) under uncultured bacterium. RNAcentral describes it as "bacterial SSU rRNA". It matches the Rfam family "Bacterial small subunit ribosomal RNA". The record is from RNAcentral.